This 392-nucleotide long non-coding RNA is filed under the name Citrus sinensis (sweet orange). Its description in RNAcentral is "long non-coding RNA (CSIN_LNC003412)". Lineage: Eukaryota; Viridiplantae; Streptophyta; Magnoliopsida; Sapindales; Rutaceae. The record is from RNAcentral.
CAAGUUUCAUAAAAGAAAACCUUCACUUUCCCAAUUCUAAAGCAAAUGCUUUUGCAAAAUCAUUGACUAAUGCAUUGAAACAUGUCGUAUUUUGCAGUUCUUGUCUGGUGGGCAAUCUGAGGUUGAGGCAACCCUCAACUUGAACGCCAUGAACCAAGGUCCCAACCCAUGGCACGUAUCUUUCUCUUAUGCCAGAGCUCUCCAAAACACCUGCCUGAAGACAUGGGGUGGCAGGCCAGAGAAUGUCAAGGCAGCUCAGGAUACUCUGCUCACCCGUGCCAAGGCCAACUCACUUGCUCAGCUCGGCAAGUACACUGGCGAGGGAGAAUCAGAGGAGGCCAAGAAAGGAAUGUUCGUCAAGGGCUACGUCUACUAAAUUUGUUAGCACGAAG